RNAcentral lists this ribosomal RNA (226 nucleotides) under uncultured bacterium. RNAcentral describes it as "partial 16S ribosomal RNA". It matches the Rfam family "Bacterial small subunit ribosomal RNA", at positions 15 to 230 of the family's 1533-position model. The record is from RNAcentral.
GAUCCUGGCUCAGGAUGAACGCUAGCUGCAGGCUUAACACAUGCAAGUCGAGGGGCAGCAUGGUCUUAGCUUGCUAAGGCUGAUGGCGACCGGCGCACGGGUGAGUAACACGUAUCCAACCUGCCGUCUACUCUUGGCCAGCCUUCUGAAAGGAAGAUUAAUCCAGGAUGGGAUAAUGAGUUCACAUGUCAGCAUGAUUAAAGGUAUUUUCCGGUAGACGAUGGGG